This 252-nucleotide ribosomal RNA is filed under the name uncultured bacterium. RNAcentral's name for it is "partial 16S ribosomal RNA". It matches the Rfam family "Bacterial small subunit ribosomal RNA", at positions 524 to 776 of the family's 1533-position model. The record is from RNAcentral.
UACGUAGGGUGUAGGCGUUAAUCGGAAUUACUGGGCGUAAAGCGUGCGCAGGCGGUUUCUUAAGUCAGAUAUGAAAGCCCCGGGCUUAACCUGGGAACUGCGUUUGAAACUGGGAGACUCGAGUGUGGCAGAGGGGGGUGGAAUUCCACGUGUAGCAGUGAAAUGCGUAGAUAUGUGGAGGAACACCGAUGGCGAAGGCAGCCCCCUGGGUCAACACUGACGCUCAUGCACGAAGCGUGGGGAGCAAACAGG